UACGGGGGGGGCAAGCGUUGUUCGGAAUUACUGGGCGUAAAGGGCUCGUAGGCGGCCAACUAAGUCAGACGUGAAAUCCCUCGGCUUAACCGGGGAACUGCGUCUGAUACUGGAUGGCUUGAAUCCGGGAGAGGGAUGUGGAAUUCCAGGUGUAGCGGUGAAAUGCGUAGAUAUCUGGAGGAAUACCGGUGGCGAAGGCGGCAUCCUGGACCGGCAUUGACGCUGAUGAGCGAAAGCCAGGGGAGCAAACGGG
This 253-nucleotide ribosomal RNA is filed under the name uncultured bacterium. RNAcentral describes it as "partial 16S ribosomal RNA". It matches the Rfam family "Bacterial small subunit ribosomal RNA", at positions 524 to 776 of the family's 1533-position model. The record is from RNAcentral.